This 513-nucleotide ribosomal RNA is filed under the name uncultured bacterium. RNAcentral's name for it is "partial 16S ribosomal RNA". It matches the Rfam family "Bacterial small subunit ribosomal RNA", at positions 28 to 523 of the family's 1533-position model. The record is from RNAcentral.
GACGAACGCUGGCGGCGUGCCUAAUACAUGCAAGUAGAACGCUGACUACUUUAGCUUGCUAGAGUAGAAGGAGUUGCGAACGGGUGAGUAACGCGUAGGUAACCUGCCUACUAGCGGGGGAUAACUAUUGGAAACGAUAGCUAAUACCGCAUAACAGUGUUUAACACAUGUUAGAUGCUUGAAAGAUGCAAUUGCAUCACUAGUAGAUGGACCUGCGUUGUAUUAGCUAGUUGGUGGGGUAACGGCCCACCAAGGCGACGAUACAUAGCCGACCUGAGAGGGAGGUCGGCCACACUUGGACUGGGACACGGCCCAGACUCCUACGGGAGGCAGCAGUAGGGAAUCUUCGGCAAUGGGGGCAACCCUGACCGGGCAACGCCGCGUGAGUGAAGAAGGUUUUCGGAUCGUAAAGCUCUGUUGUAAGAGAAGAACGUGUGUGAGAGUGGAAAGUUCACACAGUGACGGUAACUUACCAGAAAGGGACGGCUAACUACGUGCCAGCAGCCGCCGUAA